RNAcentral lists this ribosomal RNA (519 nucleotides) under Dibamus bourreti. RNAcentral describes it as "partial 12S ribosomal RNA". It matches the Rfam family "Bacterial small subunit ribosomal RNA", at positions 776 to 1525 of the family's 1533-position model. The record is from RNAcentral. Lineage: Eukaryota; Metazoa; Chordata; Lepidosauria; Squamata; Dibamidae.
GAUUAGAUACCCCACUAUGCUCGGCCCUAAACUUAGAUAGAAAAUUACAUACUAUCCGCCAGAGAACUACAAGCGAAAAGCUUAAAACUCCAAGGACUUGGCGGUGCCCCAUAUCAUCCUAGAGGAGCCUGUCCUAUAAUCGAUACCCCACGUUCUACCUCACCAUUUUUUGCCAAACAGUUUAUAUACCGCCGUCGUUCAGCCAACCCCAUGAGGGAAAUAAAAGUUAGCGGAAUGGUCCGACACCAACACGUCAGGUCAAGGUGUAACACAUAAAAUGGCAGAGAUGGGCUACACUCUCUUUAAAAGAAGAUACGAAUAGCGUAAUGAAACCAACACUUAAAGGCGGAUUUAGCAGUAAAAUUGGCCAGAAAACCAACCUUAAACAAGCCCUGGGGCGCGCACACACCGCCCGUCACCCUCAUCAACACCAACCACACAUAUAAAUAAUACAAGACUGAGACAACAGAUGAGGCAAGUCGUAACAUGGUAAGCGCACUGGAAAGUGUGCUUGGAAUA